This 468-nucleotide ribosomal RNA is filed under the name uncultured bacterium. RNAcentral describes it as "partial 16S ribosomal RNA". It matches the Rfam family "Bacterial small subunit ribosomal RNA", at positions 28 to 507 of the family's 1533-position model. The record is from RNAcentral.
GACGAACGCUGGCGGCGUGCUUAACACAUGCGAGUCGAACGGAAAGGCCCUGCUUUUGUGGGGUGCUCGAGUGGCGAACGGGUGAGUAACACGUGAGUAACCUGCCCUUGACUUUGGGAUAACUUCAGGAAACUGGGGCUAAUACCGGAUAGGAGCUCCUGCUGCAUGGUGGGGGUUGGAAAGUUUCGGCGGUUGGGGAUGGACUCGCGGCUUAUCAGCUUGUUGGUGGGGUAGUGGCUUACCAAGGCUUUGACGGGUAGCCGGCCUGAGAGGGUGACCGGCCACAUUGGGACUGAGAUACGGCCCAGACUCCUACGGGAGGCAGCAGUGGGGAAUCUUGCACAAUGGGCGGAAGCCUGAUGCAGCAACGCCGCGUGCGUGAUGACGGCCUUCGGGUUGUAAACCGCUUUCGCCUGUGACGAAGCGUUAGUGACGGUAAUGGGUAAAUAAGCACCGGCUAACUACGUG